GACGAACGCUGGCGGCGUGCUUAACACAUGCAAGUCGAACGGAAAGGCCCUGCUUUUGUGGGGUGCUCGAGUGGCGAACGGGUGAGUAACACGUGAGUAACCUGCCCUUGACUUUGGGAUAACUUCAGGAAACUGGGGCUAAUACCGGAUAGGAGCUCCUGCUGCAUGGUGGGGGUUGGAAAGUUUCGGCGGUUGGGGAUGGACUCGCGGCUUAUCAGCUUGUUGGUGGGGUAGUGGCUUACCAAGGCUUUGACGGGUAGCCGGCCUGGGAGGGUGACCGGCCACAUUGGGCCUGAGGUACGGCCCGGACUCCUUCGGGGGGCAGCAGUGGGGAAUAUUGCACAACGGGCGGAGGCCGUGUGCAGGAUCGCCGCGUGGGGGAGGACGGCCUUCGGGUUGGAAACCGCUUUCGCCUGUGACGAAGCGUGAGUGACUGUACUGGGGAAAGAGGCACCGGCUAACUACUG
RNAcentral lists this ribosomal RNA (467 nucleotides) under uncultured bacterium. RNAcentral describes it as "partial 16S ribosomal RNA". It matches the Rfam family "Bacterial small subunit ribosomal RNA", at positions 28 to 506 of the family's 1533-position model. The record is from RNAcentral.